Molecule: ribosomal RNA, 789 nt
Filed under: uncultured Pelagibacteraceae bacterium
Lineage: Bacteria; Pseudomonadati; Pseudomonadota; Alphaproteobacteria; Candidatus Pelagibacterales; Candidatus Pelagibacteraceae
Description: bacterial SSU rRNA
Rfam family: Bacterial small subunit ribosomal RNA
Source: RNAcentral
ACGCCUUAUACAUGCAAGUCGAACGGAGUAGCAAUACUUAGUGGCAGACGGGUGAGUAACAUGUGGGAAUCUUCCCUUUGGUGAGGAAUAACACGAGGAAACUUGUGCUAAUACCUCAUAAGUCUUUACAGAGAAAGCUUUAUGCGCCAAUGGAUGAGCCCGCACUUGAUUAGUUUGUUGGUGGGGUAAUGGCCCACCAAGACUGUGAUCAAUAGCUGAUCUGAGAGGAUGAUCAGCCACAUUGGGACUGAGACACGGCCCAAACUCCUACGGGAGGCAGCAGUAAGGAAUCUUGCACAAUGGAGGAAACUCUGAUGCAGCGAUGCCGCGUGAGUGAAGAAGGCCCUUGGGUUGUAAAGCUCUUUCGUCGGGGAAGAAAAUGACUGUACCCGAAUAAGAAGGUCCGGCUAACUUCGUGCCAGCAGCCGCGGUAAUACGAAGGGACCUAGCGUAGUUCGGAAUUACUGGGCUUAAAGAGUUCGUAGGUUGUUAAAAAAGUUGGUGGUGAAAUCCCAGAGCUUAACUCUGGAACUGCCAUCAAAACUUUUUAGCUAGAGUUUGAUAGAGGAAAGCAGAAUUUCUAGUGUAGAGGUGAAAUUCGUAGAUAUUAGAAAGAAUACCAAUUGCGAAGGCAGCUUUCUGGAUCAUUACUGACACUGAGGAACGAAAGCAUGGGUAGCGAAGAGGAUUAGAUACCCUCGUAGUCCAUGCUGUAAACGAUGUGUGUUAGACGUUGGGAAUUAUUUUUCAGUGUCGCAGCGAAAGCAUUAAACACACCGCCUGGGGAGU